UGCCAGCAGCCGCGGUAAGACAGAGGAGGCAAGCGUUGUUCGGAAUCAUUGGGCUUAAAGCGGGUGUAGGCGGCUUGGAAAGUGUUGUGUGAAAUCCCACGGCUUAACCGUGGAAUUGCAUGGCAAACUUCCUGGCUUGAGGUCGGUAGAGGUACCUGGAACUCUAGGUGGAGCGGUGAAAUGCGUAGAUAUCUAGAGGAAUGCCGGAGGCGAAAGCGGGGUACUGGGCCGAUUCUGACGCUGAGACCCGAAAGCGUGGGGAGCAAACAGGAUUCGAUA
This 279-nucleotide ribosomal RNA is filed under the name uncultured bacterium. RNAcentral's name for it is "partial 16S ribosomal RNA". It matches the Rfam family "Bacterial small subunit ribosomal RNA", at positions 506 to 784 of the family's 1533-position model. The record is from RNAcentral.